This 1170-nucleotide long non-coding RNA is filed under the name Hordeum vulgare. Its description in RNAcentral is "long non-coding RNA (HVUL_LNC017926)". Lineage: Eukaryota; Viridiplantae; Streptophyta; Magnoliopsida; Poales; Poaceae. The record is from RNAcentral.
UCCCCUCCGGUGGACCACAACUUGGCCUCAUUCAAGACGAUGUCUAGCAAAAUGGGUGGUGGGGCACUCUUGUGAAGGAAAACUCGAGUUUCUCUUGUUUUAUAUAGUUCAGGAGAUGAGCAUGGCGAGGAAGGUCAAGGCCUUUUUAUCGGGGAUGUUUAUGCCCAAACACUUAGACCACCAAUUUUUGACGGAUUCCUCAAGAUGCCAUGCCAAAAUAAACGCGUGCACUAGCUUAAGUUUGUCGAUUGCAAGUUUUCAAAGCCCAAGGAUGAAGGGACUUAUAGAAGAGGUGUGCUCCGGUUUCUUGCACCCUCUUGCAAAUAGGGCAAAGACCAUAAUUCUUAACCCCUUUUCCCAACCAAACAAAAAAUAUGAUUUUGAACUAUGCCCAAGUCUUCCAAACCAUGUGGAGAUAGGAUCAUGCCCAAGUACCGUGGCUUGUAUGUCGUAGCCGCCGAGUAAACUCUAUCGUUGGAGUGUUUUUCACACUAUGCCAUCCUCAUUUUGCACAUCAUGGCAGAAAUCACGCACGAGCAUCCAAAGAAUAAAGAGCUUUCGAUGUGCAAUGAUAUACGAGUCAUACGACAUAGAAAUUAUAUCAUUCAAAACUUUAAAAAUAUAAAUUUCAUGAUGUAAGAGCAUAUUCAAUAGUUUAUGUAAAAUACAUCACCAAAUUGUGAUUGGAAUAAAAUUUAAAUCACAAAAAAGUGACAUUUUACAUGCUCCAAUAAAUGAUGAAAAAUAGGGCAGCCGCUCCACAAUUUACGUAAAGAAAUCUAACACCGAACUACUAAAGAAAUCACCAUCGGCAUCCCCUGCAGAAGGAGGCGCUUGCUCCAAUCGUCGACUGCACGACAGCAGAGCUAGAGCUUAGCGGCUCGCUCCAAUCGCCCGGAGAGAUGAUCGGAGCCGAAGCUCGGUGGCCCUGGCCAGCAUGCUCAUAGCAAGAGGCGGUUGCUCCAAUCGCGCGAGGAGACUAGCGGAGCCGGAGCUCGGCAGCCACGACCAGCAACUCAUGGUGGUGGUGCAAAUCCAUUGCGCAUGUUUAGGGGAGGCAUGGCGGAGGAGCGUUGGUGGACGCGGAAUGACGGACCUGGCGGUAUGAGUCAGAAUGGACCAACAAUAUAAUUGUGCAUGUAAUUUUAGUUUUUUUUUUAAAAAAAAUUG